This 429-nucleotide ribosomal RNA is filed under the name uncultured bacterium. RNAcentral describes it as "bacterial SSU rRNA". It matches the Rfam family "Bacterial small subunit ribosomal RNA", at positions 355 to 776 of the family's 1533-position model. The record is from RNAcentral.
UGGGGAAUAUUGGACAAUGGGGGGAACCCUGAUCCAGCAAUGCCGCGUGUGCGAUGAAGGCCUGCGGGUUGUAAAGCACUUUCGUUGGGGAAGAAAUGCUCAAAGAUAAUACAUUUGAGAGCUGACGUUACCCAAAGAAGAAGCACCGGCAAACUCUGUGCCAGCAGCCGCGGUAAUACAGAGGGUGCAAGCGUUAAUCGGAGUUACUGGGCGUAAAGGGCGCGUAGGCUGGUAUUUAAGUCGAUUGUGAAAUCCCUGGGCUUAACCUAGGAAUUGCAGUCGAUACUGAAUGCCUUGAGUAUGGUAGAGGAAAGUGGAAUUCUCGGUGUAGUGGUUAAAUACGUAGAUAUCGAGAAGAACACCGGUGGCGAAGGCGACUUUCUGGACCAAUACUGACGCUGAGGCGCGAAAGCGUGGGGAGCAAACAGG